GCGGNUGNGACCCUGCGGCGUGCCUAAUAACAUGCAAGUCGAGCGAACAGACGAGGAGCUUGCUCCUCUGACGUUAGCGGCGGACGGGUGAGUAACACGUGGAUAACCUACCUAUAAGACUGGGAUAACCUUCGGGAAACCGGAGCUAAUACCGGAUAAUAUAUUGAACCGCAUGGUUCAAUAGUGAAAGACGGUUUUGCUGUCACUUAUAGAUGGAUCCGCGCCGCAUUAGCUAGUUGGUAAGGUAACGGCUUACCAAGGCAACGAUGCGUAGCCGACCUGAGAGGGUGAUCGGCCACACUGGAACUGAGACACGGUCCAGACUCCUACGGGAGGCAGCAGUAGGGAAUCUUCCGCAAUGGGCGAAAGCCUGACGGAGCAACGCCGCGUGAGUGAUGAAGGUCUUCGGAUCGUAAAACUCUGUUAUUAGGGAAGAACAAAUGUGUAAGUAACUAUGCACGUCUUGACGGUACCUAAUCAGAAAGCCACGGCUAACUACGUGCCAGCAGCCGCGGUAAUACGUAGGUGGCAAGCGUUAUCCGGAAUUAUUGGGCGUAAAGCGCGCGUAGGCGGUUUUUUAAGUCUGAUGUGAAAGCCCACGGCUCAACCGUGGAGGGUCAUUGGAAACUGGAAAACUUGAGUGCAGAAGAGGAAAGUGGAAUUCCAUGUGUAGCGGUGAAAUGCGCAGAGAUAUGGAGGAACACCAGUGGCGAAGGCGACUUUCUGGUCUGUAACUGACGCUGAUGUGCGAAAGCGUUGGGGAUCAAACAGGAUUAGAUCCCUG
Molecule: ribosomal RNA, 784 nt
Filed under: Staphylococcus epidermidis
Lineage: Bacteria; Bacillati; Bacillota; Bacilli; Caryophanales; Staphylococcaceae
Description: bacterial SSU rRNA
Rfam family: Bacterial small subunit ribosomal RNA
Source: RNAcentral